Molecule: long non-coding RNA, 221 nt
Filed under: Setaria italica (foxtail millet)
Lineage: Eukaryota; Viridiplantae; Streptophyta; Magnoliopsida; Poales; Poaceae
Description: long non-coding RNA (SITA_LNC006235)
Source: RNAcentral
AGAGCGAUGGUGGCCCAGGGUCAUCCAUUCAGAGAUAUCCAGGCGAAUUGGUUUUCUGUCGGAAAAUGAAAGGCAUCGUCCAUCGAUACUGGUAGCCUAGCCUGGAUAAAUGGGAUAAGCUCUCCAUCAGCUUGGAUAAAUGGGAUGGAGUGAAGCUAGAAUUUGUUAGGUUUUUCAAAAAAGAAAAAAAAGAAAAGAAAAGAAGAGCAGACUUUGCACAU